CUUAACGUUUCGCAUGCGCCGCGUGCAUGCGGAUUCCAACCAAUCCUUUUGUGGGAGCAAUCUGUACGAGCCUAACCACCUUUUCUUCGCUCCGGUUUCGUCGUCGCCGGAAGAAACAGCUGGAUUCAUAGAUGGUUAAGAUGCUAUUUAGAUUUGGCAAACGGGAUUUGGCUUGAGGGAGUUGCUGCAUAGCUUGUAAGAAGCCAUCGAAACAUCUCUUCAUCUAAUGGUUGAAGAGGUGUUACAGAUGAUUUUCUUGCAAGUUAUGCAGCUGCUGCCGCAAGCUUUUUACUUCAACCUGCCAGAACUAGAUUAUUCAUUAAACAAAUUUUUUCCCUUGAUAUCAACUACUAGCAUGGAAAGAAUUAACCAGAACAUUGAGCCCUACUGAAUGUAUUGAGUAUCAGCAAAUGGUCUUAAGUAAAAGCCUAAUAAUGUUCUCAGGUUGCAUAGUUUCUAAGUCCAGGUGAAGUCUUGCUUGUUUGCUUCGGAAGGAGUUGUCCUCUUCCUUUCUCUCAAAGGAAAACGGCAACCUAAUAUUAAGGAUUCUACGAAAUUAAGAGUGGCUUUUUUGGGAUUCUCUUUCCAGAUAUGUGAAGACUGAGUAGACAGAAGGAUUUUGAUCAAACAAAGGCUCAUAAUCUAGGUAAAGAAGAGUAAUUAUACGCUAGCUAAUGACAAAAGAGAACAAUGUCCAUAUGCAAGUAUAUACAUUCUUGGCUUGGUGUUUUCUUUUGUUCAACAAAAAAUAUUUUUAGUCUUCUAUUUCAAUCAGUUGAGUCAAAUUCAAAUAAAAAAACUAA
This is a long non-coding RNA of Dendrobium catenatum, 803 nucleotides long. RefSeq lists it as uncharacterized. The transcript is spliced from 7 exons. The record is from RefSeq and is a predicted model, not a curated record. NCBI's taxonomy places the organism in Eukaryota, Viridiplantae, Streptophyta, Magnoliopsida, Asparagales, Orchidaceae.